GGUUAAGCGACUAAGCGUACACGGUGGAUGCCCUGGCAGUCAGAGGCGAUGAAGGACGUGCUAAUCUGCGAAAAGCGUCGGUAAGGUGAUAUGAACCGUUAUAGCCGGCGAUGUCCGAAUGGGGAAACCCAGUGUGAUUCGUCACACUAUCGUUAACUGAAUACAUAGGUUAACGAGGCGAACCGGGGGAACUGAAACAUCUAAGUACCCCGAGGAAAAGAAAUCAACCGAGAUUCCCCCAGUAGCGGCGAGCGAACGGGGAGCAGCCCAGAGUCUGAAUCAGCUUGUGUGUUAGUGGAACGGUCUGGAAAGUCCGACGGUACAGGGUGAUAGUCCCGUACACCAAAAUGCACAGGCUGUGAACUCGAAGAGUAGGGCGGGACACGUGGUAUCCUGUCUGAAUAUGGGGGGACCAUCCUCCAAGGCUAAAUACUCCUGACUGACCGAUAGUGAACCAGUACCGUGAGGGAAAGGCGAAAAGAACCCCGGCGAGGGGAGUGAAAAAGAACCUGAAACCGUGUACGUACAAGCAGUGGGAGCACCUUUAUGGUGUGACUGCGUACCUUUUGUAUAAUGGGUCAGCGACUUAUAUUCUGUAGCAAGGUUAACCGUAUAGGGGAGCCGCAGGGAAACCGAGUCUUAACUGGGCGUUAAGUUGCAGGGUAUAGACCCGAAACCCGGUGAUCUAGCCAUGGGCAGGUUGAAGGUUGGGUAACACUAACUGGAGGACCGAACCGACUAAUGUUGAAAAAUUAGCGGAUGACUUGUGGCUGGGGGUGAAAGGCCAAUCAAACCGGGAGAUAGCUGGUUCUCCCCGAAAGCUAUUUAGGUAGCGCCUCGUGAACUCAUCUUCGGGGGUAGAGCACUGUUUCGGCUAGGGGGUCAUCCCGACUUACCAACCCGAUGCAAACUACGAAUACCGAAGAAUGUUAUCACGGGAGACACACGGCGGGUGCUAACGUCCGUCGUGAAGAGGGAAACAACCCAGACCGCCAGCUAAGGUCCCAAAGUCAUGGUUAAGUGGGAAACGAUGUGGGAAGGCACAGACAGCCAGGAUGUUGGCUUAGAAGCAGCCAUCAUUUAAAGAAAGCGUAAUAGCUCACUGGUCGAGUCGGCCUGCGCGGAAGAUGUAACGGGGCUAAACCAUGCACCGAAGCUGCGGCAGCGACACUAUGUGUUGUUGGGUAGGGGAGCGUUCUGUAAGCCUGCGAAGGUGGCCUGUGAGGGUUGCUGGAGGUAUCAGAAGUGCGAAUGCUGACAUAAGUAACGAUAAAGCGGGUGAAAAGCCCGCUCGCCGGAAGACCAAGGGUUCCUGUCCAACGUUAAUCGGGGCAGGGUGAGUCGACCCCUAAGGCGAGGCCGAAAGGCGUAGUCGAUGGGAAACAGGUUAAUAUUCCUGUACUUGGUGUUACUGCGAAGGGGGGACGGAGAAGGCUAUGUUAGCCGGGCGACGGUUGUCCCGGUUUAAGCAUGUAGGCUGGUUAUCCAGGCAAAUCCGGAUAAUCAAGGCUGAGGUGUGAUGACGAGGCACUACGGUGCUGAAGUAACAAAUGCCCUGCUUCCAGGAAAAGCCUCUAAGCAUCAGGUAACAUCAAAUCGUACCCCAAACCGACACAGGUGGUCAGGUAGAGAAUACCAAGGCGCUUGAGAGAACUCGGGUGAAGGAACUAGGCAAAAUGGUGCCGUAACUUCGGGAGAAGGCACGCUGGUGUGUAGGUGAAGUCCCUGCGGAUGGAGCUGAGACCAGUCGAAGAUACCAGCUGGCUGCAACUGUUUAUUAAAAACACAGCACUGUGCAAACACGAAAGUGGACGUAUACGGUGUGACGCCUGCCCGGUGCCGGAAGGUUAAUUGAUGGGGUUAUCCGUAAGGAGAAGCUCUUGAUCGAAGCCCCGGUAAACGGCGGCCGUAACUAUAACGGUCCUAAGGUAGCGAAAUUCCUUGUCGGGUAAGUUCCGACCUGCACGAAUGGCGUAAUGAUGGCCAGGCUGUCUCCACCCGAGACUCAGUGAAAUUGAACUCGCUGUGAAGAUGCAGUGUACCCGCGGCAAGACGGAAAGACCCCGUGAACCUUUACUAUAGCUUGACACUGAACAUUGAGCCUUGAUGUGUAGGAUAGGUGGGAGGCUUUGAAGCGUGGACGCCAGUCUGCGUGGAGCCAACCUUGAAAUACCACCCUUUAAUGUUUGAUGUUCUAACGUUGGCCCCUUAUCGGGGUUGCGGACAGUGUCUGGUGGGUAGUUUGACUGGGGCGGUCUCCUCCCAAAGCGUAACGGAGGAGCACGAAGGUUAGCUAAUCCUGGUCGGACAUCAGGAGGUUAGUGCAAUGGCAUAAGCUAGCUUGACUGCGAGCGUGACGGCGCGAGCAGGUGCGAAAGCAGGUCAUAGUGAUCCGGUGGUUCUGAAUGGAAGGGCCAUCGCUCAACGGAUAAAAGGUACUCCGGGGAUAACAGGCUGAUACCGCCCAAGAGUUCAUAUCGACGGCGGUGUUUGGCACCUCGAUGUCGGCUCAUCACAUCCUGGGGCUGAAGUAGGUCCCAAGGGUAUGGCUGUUCGCCAUUUAAAGUGGUACGCGAGCUGGGUUUAGAACGUCGUGAGACAGUUCGGUCCCUAUCUGCCGUGGGCGCUGGAGAAUUGAGGGGGGCUGCUCCUAGUACGAGAGGACCGGAGUGGACGCAUCACUGGUGUUCGGGUUGUCAUGCCAAUGGCACUGCCCGGUAGCUAAAUGCGGAAGAGAUAAGUGCUGAAAGCAUCUAAGCACGAAACUUGCCCCGAGAUGAGUUCUCCCUGAGACUUUAAGUCUCCUGAAGGAACGUUGAAGACGACGACGUUGAUAGGCCGGGUGUGUAAGCGCAGCGAUGCGUUGAGCUAACCGGUACUAAUGAACCGUGAGGCUUAACCUU
This 2903-nucleotide ribosomal RNA is filed under the name Klebsiella quasipneumoniae. Its description in RNAcentral is "23S ribosomal RNA". It matches the Rfam family "Bacterial large subunit ribosomal RNA". Lineage: Bacteria; Pseudomonadati; Pseudomonadota; Gammaproteobacteria; Enterobacterales; Enterobacteriaceae. The record is from RNAcentral.